AGUGAACGCUGGCGGCAGGCCUAAUACAUGCAAGUCGAACGGCAGCACAGCAGAGCUUGCUCUGUGGGUGGCGAGUGGCGGACGGGUGAGGAAUACAUGGGAAUCUGCCCAGUCGUGGGGGAUAACGUAUGGAAACGUACGCUAAUACCGCAUGCGCCCUACGGGGGAAAGUCGGGGACCGCAAGGCCUGACGCGAUUGGAUGAGCCCAUGUUCGAUUAGCUAGUUGGCGGGGUAAAGGCCCACCAAGGCGACGAUCGAUAGCUGGUCUGAGAGGAUGAUCAGCCACACUGGAACUGAGACACGGUCCAGACUCCUACGGGAGGCAGCAGUAGGGAAUAUUGGACAAUGGGGGCAACCCUGAUCCAGCCAUGCCGCGUGAGUGAAGAAGGCCCUCGGGUUGUAAAGCUCUUUUGUCCGGAAGAAAGCAAUCGGUUAAUACCCGGUUGUUCUGACGGUACCGGAAGAAUAAGCACCGGCUAACUUCGUGCCAGC
RNAcentral lists this ribosomal RNA (493 nucleotides) under uncultured bacterium. RNAcentral describes it as "bacterial SSU rRNA". It matches the Rfam family "Bacterial small subunit ribosomal RNA", at positions 29 to 512 of the family's 1533-position model. The record is from RNAcentral.